RNAcentral lists this ribosomal RNA (253 nucleotides) under uncultured bacterium. Its description in RNAcentral is "partial 16S ribosomal RNA". It matches the Rfam family "Bacterial small subunit ribosomal RNA", at positions 524 to 776 of the family's 1533-position model. The record is from RNAcentral.
UACGUAGGUGGCAAGCGUUGUCCGGAUUUACUGGGCGUAAAGAGCGCGCAGGCGGUCGGAUCAGUCGAAUGUGAAAGCCCCCGGCUCAACUGGGGAGGGUCAUUCGAUACUGUCCGACUCGAAGGCAGGAGAGGGAAGCGGAAUUCCCGGUGUAGAGGUGAAAUGCGUAGAUAUCGGGAGGAACACCAGUGGCGAAGGCGGCUUUCUGGCCUGUUCUUGACGCUGAGGCGCGAAAGCUAGGGGAGCGAACGGG